UCGGGGACGUCUUAUCUCGGACGAUAAAAGCGAUAACGUCGAUGACGACGACCCCAGUCCAGUAUUCCAGUUCACAAUCACGAGUCAGUUGUACUCAGUAGUCACAACAUAUUUUGCCGUUGCGGACGGAACGUUGUAGUUGUCGGCUUGUCGCCAGUCUUACUUACUGCACGCACGGACAUCGUCUCACGAUAGCAGUAAUAAUAAUAUUUCGUUUUAUCAUUUUCUGACGAUAACCGUUGCUUUUAUUUCAACCGACGCACGACUGCGGAGACAAAUUAUCAAUCGACAGCAUCCUUGGUGGUCCAGAUCCGUUUUCAUCCCGUUUGACGACGGACCCUCACACACUCGCGCCCCUAAGCUCGACUACUAGCUCCACCCGCCCACGCACGACCGCGCUCUUCGACCAUGUCUAUGGGAGAUAAAGUUACAAAUCUUUGGAAAAGGGCCAGUGAUGAAGGAGAAAAUAGGGAUGAAAUUCCUUGGCACCUAAAAUAUGGUAGCAGAACAUUGGGGACAUUUGCAGGCAUUGUUAAUUUAUUCACUGGUGUUUGGAAUGGACUAGGAUUGAUUUUUUUAAACACAGAUUGUUUGUUUGGUGGAAUUAUACAAUUACUUCUUGGUAUUUUACUAAUUGCAUUAGAAGCACCUUUCCUUUGUGUGUUUAUUGAUUAUAUGCAGAAAGUUAGUGAUGUUGCUGAAAAUAAACCCUACUGGACUAGAGCUAUUUUAUAUGCUGGGCUAUCGUUAAUACCAAUUCUUUUAUGUUUUGGCCCUAGUACAUUAAUAGCUAGUGCUUUAGUAUUUUGUACUGGUUUAUUGUAUGGUCUUAUGUCAGUUGGGAAAAAAGGAUCUAGGGAAGACAUGGGAGCUAUUGCUUCUCCUGUUGAUAACGUCUCUCAACCCAUGGGCGGACAUCACACAACUUUAAUGGAAGAUCCAGAUGUGUGGCGUCCCACUUAAGGCAAACUGAACUAAAUUUUUAAAGUGUAUUAUUGCUGCUUAUGUUACUGAGCACCAGCAGAACAAAUGAAAACAACUGCAUCCACAUUAGAGCCAUGAGACAUAUACAACAUUAGUGACAUAUAUACAAUAUAAUACAGUAUAAUACUUUAGAAUUCACUAAAACCAAUUAAAAAUAAUGUGUUGGUUCCCUAGUGAUUUUAUUACCACCACUAUCCAAAUGCAUUCCAUUAUACCAUGGUCUCCUAAUUAAUGAUACUCAUUUAUCUAUGGUAAUCAAGUUCAACAAAAUUAAUAAAUUGAUUCAAUAUGUAUCUUUUUAUAGAUAUUUUUGAUGCCCAUUAAUAGUAUCCCUCUACAUUUCACCCCAUUCAAAUUUAUAAUAGGGAUUCACAUAUAUAUCUAAUAACCUUGAAUAAGAUUAUAUUUAUAUUUAUUCUAUUUUAAUCUUAUUGCAUGCCAUUAAUAUAAUAUACAUUAAUUUAGCUGUCAUGAUUUAAAACAAUUUUUAAUGGGAUUAUUGAAAUUUUAUAACUAAAAUAUAAAUAUAACAAUUAGAAAGUGACUGCAGAAUCUCUAUUGAAUCAUUCUUAUAAUAAAUUAUAUUCAAUAUUAUUAACUUGUAAUCUUAAAACUAUUUACUUAGUUGAAUAAGUUUUAGGUCACAUAUAAAGUAACAUUAACUACUUUUAAAUAUUUUGUUAUUACUAUUUUCCCUUAAGUUUAACUUAUUUUAAUCAUCCCAAAGAACAUACUCGCACCGUUAUAACUCUUGAAUAUGUUCCUGGAAUUAAUUUAUAAUAUUUAUCAAUUUAUCAUAUUAUAAUAAAAACAAAUUUAUAUACUAUAUGAUAUAUAUAUAUAUAUAUAUAUAUCAUCCUUAAUAACAAAUAUUUAUAUAAUUAUUUAUUAACAUGAGUGUAAUAUUAUUUAAUUUAUACUAGAAAUCAAUUAAUAAUUAAACAUUAUCGAAUAAAAUUCAAAAUUUUCUAUUGUGUUUUUUAAAUGACACUAUUAAAAAAUAAUUUUCAAAGCAACAAAAUUGUUAUCUUAAAAUUAAUUAAUUAAAUAAAAACACAAAUAAUAAUUAUGUUCAUCAUUACUGUUAUUUUAACUUCAAAGAUUAAAGUGUAACAAAAAUUAUGAAAACGCAAUGUUUCAUACCAUUGUUAUUUACUUAUAAAAUGUAUUUAAAAAUUAUUUACAUUUAAAAUGUAUUUAAAAUUAAAUUAUUUAAAGCAAAUAAAUGUGUUUAAAUACAAUUAUGUAUCAUUUGAUAUUACAGAUAUGUAUAAUCCAUGUAUAUUCUAAUAUACAUUCAGGUUAUUCAGGUUUUUAGAUGAUAAGGACUUGAAUUGAUGAUUUUUUUAUGAAUUUUAAAUGUAUUCCCUUUUAUUAUUUUUUAACAAUGUUGGUAACAUUCUCCAAAACAAACAUUUUUUACAAUUUAAGACAGUUUAAUAAACAUGCAGCUUAUCCAUAUCUUUAAUAUCUUUGAAUAAAAUAUAAUAAUUGUAUUUUCACAAUGUUAAGAGGAUGUAAGCGCAGUUUUUCUUUUCUCUCUCUGACCCAAGCGCAACCCAUCUUCCCAAGUAUAAGAAUUAUUUGUUAAUAUUUAUUGUUUUCGAAAAUGUCAGCGGUCUUUUUUGUACUUAUCAUUUUCUUACUUUUAAUUAUAUCAAUUGUGUGAGUACAAAUAUAUAGACAAUUUGGGUUUUUUCCUUCACAAUAAUGUACUAUAAUAUGUAAGUUACUUAAUAAAAUUAUUAUAAUAAUAUCUUUAAAUUCUAAAAAUUGAAUGGAAGCUUUUUAAGUCCCUUUUUAUAGAAAUAUUUUUAUUUUUAAUAAACCAUAUUAAUUGAAUUUAGCCCUUAGAUAUUAACUGUUUUUAUGAAAUAUAGGCAAAAACUUAUUAUCUAUUAAUUAAUUUGACUUUUGAAUAUGUCAUAGUUAAACAUUGAUUAUUAUUUAUAGUUUUAAUUAUAAGUUUAGACUAUAAAUUAUUUUAAUAUUCAUUGUAAACUUAUAAUUGUUAUGAAUUGUUGUAUAAUUGGCAAAACAUAUGUUACCUACUAAAUUAAUACACAUAAUAGUAGAGUUUAUUAAUAUUAUAAUAAUAUAUCACUAUACUUGCAUACCUUACUACAAUUUUAUGGGUUUUAUAAUAAUAUUUUCAUCAGUAUUCAAACAAAUUAUUAACUAUUGUAUUAUUUAAUAUGACAUUUAAAAAAGUUAUUUCGAAAAUAAAAAAUUAGAAGUAUA
RNA transcript from Metopolophium dirhodum (rose-grain aphid), 3225 nucleotides. It is a transcript of the gene named calcium channel flower, with no coding region annotated. The record is from RefSeq and is a predicted model, not a curated record. The transcript is spliced from 7 exons. NCBI's taxonomy places the organism in Eukaryota, Metazoa, Arthropoda, Insecta, Hemiptera, Aphididae.